UACGGAGGGUGCAAGCAUUGAUCGGAAUUACUGGGCGUAAAGGGCGCGUAGGCGGCUCUAAAAGUCAGAUGUGAAAUUCCGGGGCUCAACCCCGGAGCUGCAUUUGAAACUCUAGAGCUAGAGUAUAGUUAGGGUAAACGGAAUUCCACGUGUAGCGGUGAAAUGCGUAGAUAUGUGGAAGAACACCAGUGGUGAAGACGGUUUACUGGGCUAUAACUGACGCUGAGGCGCGAAAGCAUGGGGAGCAAACAGG
This 253-nucleotide ribosomal RNA is filed under the name uncultured bacterium. RNAcentral describes it as "partial 16S ribosomal RNA". It matches the Rfam family "Bacterial small subunit ribosomal RNA", at positions 524 to 776 of the family's 1533-position model. The record is from RNAcentral.